This 543-nucleotide long non-coding RNA is filed under the name Olea europaea subsp. europaea. The record is from RNAcentral. Lineage: Eukaryota; Viridiplantae; Streptophyta; Magnoliopsida; Lamiales; Oleaceae.
GUAUGUGAUCCGACCCCUCUUCAUACAGACCAAUUAAACCACAGGAUGUGCCUCCGACUGACUAGGGUACGAGCGCCUCUCCAACUGAACUGUCAAAGUGCCCAUUGAGCCAACCCACGUUGCGCCUUGCCUUCCAAGACAUUCUUGUUUUCCAGAAUAAAUCCAGCCUUCAAGUAUAUGCCUUGCUUUCCAAGAGCCCCACGAAUUGAACCCACGACCUCUGAACUGCCAGCCUUGAGAGAACCCUUCCUUUGCCAGUGGAAAAGUGCCCCGGGGGGCUUGGUUUCAGCAUUCUUGAUAUUACUGAUGCUAGUUCAACUUGCUUUUUACUGGUUUCUUGUAUGCAUAUAUAAUGCUCUAGUCAUGAUGGGGUUGUCGACCCACAAAUUUGAAGGCAGAUUGAAGUAGACACCUGUUUUUAAAACGACCCUAGAAUGAUCCAGAAAAGGGAGAGGAUCAAGUGUCGAAUUGUUUAUGAUAAAUAUGUCACAAAAUUUUGACAUCGAUUUCCAGUUCCAUCCCUCUCCAAGUUGAUAAACCUAC